GAGAAAAGGUGGGAAUAAUCCUUCUCUCCCUUCCUUAUCCUCUCCCCACGCCACUCUCCCUUUCAUCUUCCCACCGCCGCCCCUCUCCCUGGCAUCUUCCCACCGUCGCUCCUCUCCCUAGCAUCUUCCCACCGCCGCACGCCCUCUCUUGGGUGCUGCAGCUCGCCCCCCCCCUCUGCUCACCAUCUCCUCCCUCGUUCCCAUGGCGCCCUCCCCUUCUUGGUGGCUGACGCCCCUCCCUCCAUGGAGCUCGCCUCUGCCAUGACCGCCCUCUGCCCCCUUCCUUGCUGUUCUUAUUGCAGCCCCUCUCCAUGCCAAGCUCGCCCUCCUUCUGUGCCCAGCCCUAGCUCGCCCCAGCCCCUCUCCCUGGCUGCCCUUGCUCUGUUUUCCCCCAGCCCUAGCCGAGCUCGCCCCUGCCCUAAGUUCUCAAGGCAGCCCCUCUGUUUUUCCAUGGUCGGCACCCUCCCCAUCUUUUGUAGAUUGGAAGAAAGGAUUCUUGUGAGUGUGAGAAGAAGCAAAUCCCAGCAUAACGCAUGCUAGGUGUUCGACGAAAUGUUCGAAUUGGGAUUGUCGUUGAUAUUGUGGAUCUGAGUCGCGCUUUGUAUUGUUCCCUUUACUUUCAAAAAGUGCCUUUCUUGAACGGUCAAUUGAAGAAAAUUCUGACCAAGAAGAAUGCAUCAUCAAACUAAAUGACAUUCCUGGGGGUGCCAAGUCAUUUGAGCUAGUUGCAAGGUUCUGCUAUGGUGUGAAAAUAAAGAUUUCACCUGCAAAUGCUGUCUACCUACGGUGUGCCUCAAAGCAUCUAGAAAUGACUGAAGAAGUAGCUGAGGAAAACCUGAUUUUGUGAAUAUAUAAUUGUGAUGCUUUUGUGAAUAUAUAAUUGUGGUGCUUUUGUGUUUAUGUGAUGGAUCUAUGACUGUGGUAUACUGAUUAACUGUGUAUGUCUUUAUGAUUUGUGUAUAAAAAUAUGUGAUUUGUGGUGCUUAA
Zea mays is the source of this 987-nucleotide long non-coding RNA. RefSeq lists it as uncharacterized. The record is from RefSeq and is a predicted model, not a curated record. Lineage: Eukaryota; Viridiplantae; Streptophyta; Magnoliopsida; Poales; Poaceae. The transcript has 3 exons.